ACUUUUGUGACUGAGCGGCGGACGGGUGAGUAACGCGUGGGUAACCUGCCUCAUACAGGGGGAUAACAGUUAGAAAUGGCUGCUAAUACCGCAUAAGACCACAGUACUGCAUGGUACAGUGGUAAAAACUCCGGUGGUAUGAGAUGGACCCGCGUCUGAUUAGGUAGUUGGUGAGGUAACGGCCCACCAAGCCGACGAUCAGUAGCCGACCUGAGAGGGUGACCGGCCACAUUGGGACUGAGACACGGCCCAGACUCCUACGGGAGGCAGCAGUGGGGAAUAUUGCACAAUGGGCGAAAGCCUGAUGCAGCGACGCCGCGUGAAGGAUGAAGUAUUUCGGUAUGUAAACUUCUAUCAGCAGGGAAGAAAAUGACGGUACCUGACUAAGAAGCCCCGGCUAACUACGUGCCAGCAGCCGCGGUAAUACGUAGGGGGCAAGCGUUAUCCGGAUUUACUGGGUGUAAAGGGAGCGUAGACGGCUGUGCAAGUCUGAAGUGAAAGGCAUGGGCUCAACCUGUGGACUGCUUUGGAAACUGUGCAGCUAGAGUGUCGGAGAGGUAAGUGGAAUUCCUAGUGUAGCGGUGAAAUGCGUAGAUAUUAGGAGGAACACCAGUGGCGAAGGCGGCU
Molecule: ribosomal RNA, 627 nt
Filed under: uncultured Lachnospiraceae bacterium
Lineage: Bacteria; Bacillati; Bacillota; Clostridia; Lachnospirales; Lachnospiraceae
Description: bacterial SSU rRNA
Rfam family: Bacterial small subunit ribosomal RNA
Source: RNAcentral